CCCUUAGAUGUUCUGGGCAGCACGCGCGCUACAAUGGUCUUCGCAAACGGAUGCAUUCUCGAAGGAGAAUGCCAAUCUUGGAAUCUAUGCCUUGGUCGGGACAGUUGCUUGCAAUUUUUCGACUCGAACCAGGAAUUCCUUGUAAUCGUGAUUCAUCACAUCACGAUGAAUACGUCCCUGCCCUUUGUACACACCGCCCGUCGCUCCUACCGAUUGAAUGUUUCGGUGAAGAUUCCGGAUAGGACUUUUUUGAUUUAUUUCAAUUUUGUCUUAAAAGCUAUCUAAACCUCAACAUUUAGAGGAAGGUGAAGUCGUAACA
This 319-nucleotide ribosomal RNA is filed under the name uncultured eukaryote. RNAcentral describes it as "partial 18S ribosomal RNA". It matches the Rfam family "Eukaryotic small subunit ribosomal RNA", at positions 1470 to 1796 of the family's 1831-position model. The record is from RNAcentral.